Molecule: ribosomal RNA, 280 nt
Filed under: uncultured Pseudomonas sp.
Lineage: Bacteria; Pseudomonadati; Pseudomonadota; Gammaproteobacteria; Pseudomonadales; Pseudomonadaceae
Description: partial 16S ribosomal RNA
Rfam family: Bacterial small subunit ribosomal RNA
Source: RNAcentral
AACCCUUGUCCUUAGUUACCAGCACGUUAUGUGGGCACUCUAAGGAGACUGCCGGUGCAAACCGGAGGAAGUGGGGAUGACGUCAAGUCAUCAUGGCCCUUACGGCCUGGGCUACACACGUGCUACAAUGGUCGGUACAAAGGGUUGCCAAGCCGCGAGGUGGAGCUAAUCCCAUAAAACCGAUCGUAGUCCGGAUCGCAGUCUGCAACUCGACUGCGUGAAGUCGGAAUCGCUAGUAAUCGUGAAUCAGAAUGUCACGGUGAAUACGUUCCCGGGCCUU